GACGAACGCUGGCGGCGUGCCUAAUACAUGCAAGUAGAACGCUGAAGGAGGAGCUUGCUUCUCUGGAUGAGUUGCGAACGGGUGAGUAACGCGUAGGUAACCUGCCUGGUAGCGGGGGAUAACUAUUGGAAACGAUAGCUAAUACCGCAUAAUAGUAGAUGUUGCAUGACAUUUGCUUAAAAGGUGCAAUUGCAUCACUACCAGAUGGACCUGCGUUGUAUUAGCUAGUUGGUGAGGUAACGGCUCACCAAGGCGACGAUACAUAGCCGACCUGAGAGGGUGAUCGGCCACACUGGGACUGAGACACGGCCCAGACUCCUACGGGAGGCAGCAGUAGGGAAUCUUCGGCAAUGGACGGAAGUCUGACCGAGCAACGCCGCGUGAGUGAAGAAGGUUUUCGGAUCGUAAAGCUCUGUUGUAAGAGAAGAACGAGUGUGAGAGUGGAAAGUUCACACUGUGACGGUAUCUUACCAGAAGGGGACGGCUAACUACGUGCCAGCAGCCGCGGUAAUACGUAGGUCCCGAGCGUUGUCCGGAUUUAUUGGGCGUAAAGCGAGCGCAGGCGGUUAGAUAAGUCUGAAGUUAAAGGCUGUGGCUUAACCAUAGUACGCUUUGGAAACUGUUUAACCUGAGUGCAAGAGGGGAGAGUGGAAUUCCAUGUGUAGCGGUGAAAUGCGUAGAUAUAUGGAGGAACACCGGUGGCGAAAGCGGCUCUCUGGCUUGUAACUGACGCUGAGGCUCGAAAGCGUGGGGAGCAAACAGG
This 763-nucleotide ribosomal RNA is filed under the name uncultured Streptococcus sp. RNAcentral's name for it is "bacterial SSU rRNA". It matches the Rfam family "Bacterial small subunit ribosomal RNA", at positions 28 to 776 of the family's 1533-position model. The record is from RNAcentral. Lineage: Bacteria; Bacillati; Bacillota; Bacilli; Lactobacillales; Streptococcaceae.